AGCAGCAUGGCGCAGUGGUAGCGCGCGGGGCCCAUAUGUCGUGCUCGUGGUUUGCUCAAUGGUACCCCGAGGUCACUUGAUCGAAACAAGUUGCUGCUA
Non-coding RNA from Marasmius sp. AFHP31, 99 nucleotides. Lineage: Eukaryota; Fungi; Basidiomycota; Agaricomycetes; Agaricales; Marasmiaceae. The record is from the annotation of a GenBank genome assembly.